UACGUAGGGUGCAAGCGUUAAUCGGAAUUACUGGGCGUAAAGCGUGCGCAGGCGGUUCUAUCAGACAGAUGUGAAAUCCCCGGGCUCAACCUGGGAACUGCAUUUGUGACUGUAGAGCUGGAGUGCGGCAGAGGGGGAUGGAAUUCCGCGUGUAGCAGUGAAAUGCGUAGAUAUGCGGAGGAACACCGAUGGCGAAGGCAAUCCCCUGGGCCUGCACUGACGCUCAUGCACGAAAGCGUGGGGAGCAAACAGG
RNAcentral lists this ribosomal RNA (253 nucleotides) under uncultured bacterium. RNAcentral's name for it is "partial 16S ribosomal RNA". It matches the Rfam family "Bacterial small subunit ribosomal RNA", at positions 524 to 776 of the family's 1533-position model. The record is from RNAcentral.